GUCUUCGUAGCUCAGCUGGUAGAGCGUGCGUUGUACAAAAGCGUAGGCGGCGUUCAUGUGUGGAUUCAAAUCCCACCGAGGCUA
RNAcentral lists this transfer RNA (84 nucleotides) under Echinostoma caproni. It matches the Rfam family "tRNA". From Rfam's summary of the family: Transfer RNA (tRNA) molecules are approximately 80 nucleotides in length. Their secondary structure includes four short double-helical elements and three loops (D, anti-codon, and T loops). Lineage: Eukaryota; Metazoa; Platyhelminthes; Trematoda; Plagiorchiida; Echinostomatidae. The record is from Rfam by way of RNAcentral.